GCCCGGUUAGCUCAGUCGGUAGAGCACCAGACUCUUAAUCUGGCUGUCGCGGGUUC
Molecule: transfer RNA, 56 nt
Filed under: Ancylostoma duodenale
Lineage: Eukaryota; Metazoa; Nematoda; Chromadorea; Rhabditida; Ancylostomatidae
Rfam family: tRNA
About the family: Transfer RNA (tRNA) molecules are approximately 80 nucleotides in length. Their secondary structure includes four short double-helical elements and three loops (D, anti-codon, and T loops).
Source: Rfam by way of RNAcentral